Molecule: long non-coding RNA, 2835 nt
Organism: Silurus meridionalis
Lineage: Eukaryota; Metazoa; Chordata; Actinopteri; Siluriformes; Siluridae
Exons: 3
Source: RefSeq, a predicted model, not a curated record
GUUGAUUGCGUUAGCUACGAUACUGAUGUGAUCAUCCUUCAGGGUGAUGUAGCCAGGGUGAGAGAACUCCAGCAGCUCGCCGUCUUUAUACCAGCUACACAGAUCAGAGACGUGAGGGUUAGGAGCAAUUUUCUUUCCACAUCGGAAGGUAAGUUUCCUUCCCUCAGCAACCAGCUUUUGUUUGGUCCGAGGUGGCUUUGGAGUUGGGGCGAUGGUAGGAAAAGGGAAGGCUGUUUGGACAUAACGGUUUCCCAAGCUUUAAGCCACAAGAGAAAAAGAGCAACCACUGUGAUGUGAGUUCUGAACCUGAACGAUCGUGUCUUCCGUAUUGUUGGAUUCGGAAUUAUUUGGAAACUUUUCCCGACUUCUAAGUUAUAGUUACCGCAGAUGUUUUGGUGGCGCUCCAGACGACGCUGAUCACUAUGCGUCUGAAGCCCACCAGCCUCAUACUGGGAUUUCAGUGGCUUGUAAUCAUGCAAAACAUGUUCCCAGAAUGACCAAAUUUCACCCUGACUGCAAUGAGAACGAGACUAGUAACUGCCUUUUUCUUCCAAGCAAACAGAAUUUCAGCGUUUCGUACCAGUCUUGGCUUCUGGAAGAGAAAAUGUUUCCCUCCACUCUAGAAUAUGGGCGUGUUUCAAUAUUUUUGGAUUCAUCAAGUUCAUCUACUCUGCUGAAUUUAGCCUGCCAGCACCAUGACUUAAUGGGAUCUUUAGGUUUUUUUUUUUUCCCCCCAGUCCUACAAGGAAUGGAUUGCGGUUCUCAAAAAAAAUUUUUGUCACAAAGGCAAAUAUUUAUCUGUUAGAGACCAGAAGGAGUGGUCACUGAAAAGAAAAAAAAAAGCACAUGGAUUCAGCAACAGCAGCCAUUUUUUUUCUUGUCCUUUGUUCAAAUGAAAAGAAGAUGCUUCAGUUGAAUGCCAUGGCGUCAUAUGAAAACUAUUAUAAAGAGUUGCAUAGACUAUUUGGAAACGUGAAAAUGGAAAGCAUCCUUUGAGGCUUUUGAACAUACCAAGGACUUAAUUAAAUCUCAACACAUGUAGCAGUUCACUAUUAUUAGUUUUUUCCUCCAUAUAAUAAACACACAAGUGGCUUAAACUAUCCAACUAUUUCAAUGAGAAUCUAGAUCAUUGAAAUUUGAAAAUUGAGACAUUGAACAUUGACACACGAUCAUAUAAAACAAAGUCAUUUAUAUUUAGGAAAUGAAAGGAUGUAUUGGCUAAUAAAAUUUAUUCUGGAAGCUUAGUCCGUCUUGGCAUGAAAAGUGCUCGAUCAUCAAAAGACCAACCCUUUCUGUGAUGAAUAUGUUAGAGACAAUCAAAGUGGUGGUGGGAAGCUUUGAGCCAUUUCUGCAAUUUGACAUUUGCUCUUAUCCUUAUUGAGUGAUUAAAAUUAAUUGCAUUUAUAAAUAUGGGGAUAUGGAGGUUAAUGGUCUUGCUCAGGGGUCUGGGAGUGGUGUGGCCGGGAUUUGAACUCCUGACCUUUGGAGCCAAUGGCCAAUGACUUAACCAUGAAGAUACCGUCUCCUGUCCUUUUUUUUGGGGGGGGCGUUGCUUUAAAGUACAGCCCUGGAAAUGCUGGGGAUUGAACUCAGGACCUCAUACAUGAGCCCACUGAGCUACAUCCCCUGGUUUCUGUGAGAGGCUUUUCUUGUUUAAAAAGUAGCAGAAGUGUGCAAAAUUUACUGAACAGUGUAAACGUGUAAGAAAAAAAGUGAGUGUAAAAGUCACUAAUGAACUUGAUUUUUCUACAACAAAUACUACACCUUUUUGCCCCCUGCAAGUUUACUGCUCAUAUUUAUGAUGCACCACAGAGAGCCACAGUAGAUCAUUUUUGCCUGGGGGCAUCAAACUGCAUAACUCCUCCCUCGGAGUGUUAAAAAGCUGCUCCACAAUAUAAAUAAUAUAGAUAUAAUUAUAGGUGCAUCUCAAUACAUUAGAAUAUCAUUAAAAAACAUUUAUUUGAGCAAUUCAAUACAAAAAGUGAAACUUGUGUAUUAUAUAGAUUCAUCACACACAGACUGAUAUAUGAUUAUAUAUUGCAAUGAUCAUAUGUGCAAUGAUUUUAGUGCAACAAUAGUUACAUUUACAAAAGCUUUUAUAACUAUUAUUGUAGUCUGACUUUUAUGCCAUCUGUUAAUUUCAUGCUGCUACACAUUUCAUUUCACUUAAUAUGUAUAUAUUUUCUUAUAUUCUAUUUUUACUUUAAACUUUGCUAAUCUUUUACUGUGAGCUACUGCAACCGAACAAUUUCUUAAUGGGAUUAUUGAAGUAUUCUGAUUUUGAUUAGCGAUUAAAUAAAAUGUAACGCAUCAUAACCAAUAUUUGCCAGCUAUCCGACUUAUUGCCAGUUACAUUAGCAAAUGAAAUCCGCUCGUAUAAUCUGAUAGUCUAACCAGACUUUAGCAAAGAAAAAGAAAGUGCAUGAAGACAUAAAGGUGUUUACAAUUUGUACGUUCAUGGUGCCAAGACUUCUUCAUGAGGCCAAAUGGUUCUCUGCUUUUUUCACUUGUCUUAAGGCAUUUUUUAAACUACACCAUUAACAUUCAUGAUAUUUUUCUUACUGGUCAAAAGUAAACAAAACAAAAAUGCAUUUUUCAGUGGCAGGAACUGGAACAUACUAAAAUCCAUCAGAGUCAAAUCUAAACUGCAUUUUACUGCUCUGGAUUUCUGAGUUUUCCUUUUGUGUUCUGCAAGAACAAAAACAUCUUUGCUUCUAGAAAUUUUAAUAAGAUUGUUGCAGAGAUCAAGGCACAAUGUAACUGGCAGGUGAUUGGCUAAGGAAUUGCCAGAUUUCCCAGAUUAUAAAUUUGUAAUGAAUUUCUGUAAAACUCUUA